RNAcentral lists this unclassified non-coding RNA (300 nucleotides) under uncultured fungus. RNAcentral's name for it is "sequence contains 5.8S rRNA gene, ITS2". The stretch from base 1 to 71 matches the Rfam family "5.8S ribosomal RNA", at positions 84 to 154 of the family's 154-position model. The record is from RNAcentral. Lineage: Eukaryota; Fungi.
GUGAGUCAUCGAAUCUUUGAACGCACAUUGCGCUCCUUGGUAUUCCGAGGAGCAUAUCUGUUCGAGCGUCAUAUCUCUCUCAAGGCUACCAUUUUACUGUGGGAGACUUGGUGCUGAGCUCGGAGAGCUGAGAAGCCUCCGGCUCCAAUUUCGCACGCUUGCGGUCCCCGUUGAACCUCAGACAUGAUAAACUUGACUGUUUGGUGUGUUCUUGACGGUGGAUUCGCCACUGAACCCCCCCAAAAGUUUGACCUCGGAUCAGAUAAGGAUACCCACUGAACUUAAGCAUAUCAAUAAGCG